This 253-nucleotide ribosomal RNA is filed under the name uncultured bacterium. RNAcentral's name for it is "partial 16S ribosomal RNA". It matches the Rfam family "Bacterial small subunit ribosomal RNA", at positions 524 to 776 of the family's 1533-position model. The record is from RNAcentral.
UACGUAGGCAGCGAGCGUUGUUCGGAUUUACUGGGCGUAAAGGGCGCGUAGGCGGCCUUGUCAGUCAGGCGUGAAAGCCCCGGGCUCAACCUGGGAACGGCGCUUGGGACGGCGAGGCUGGAGUUCGGGAGAGGAGAGUGGAAUUCCCAGUGUAGAGGUGAAAUUCGUAGAUAUUGGGAAGAACACCGGUGGCGAAGGCGGCUCUCUGGACCGACACUGACGCUGAGGCGCGAAAGCGUGGGGAGCAAACAGG